CCCUUAGAUGUCCUGGGCUGCACGCGCGCUACACUGAUGCGUCCAAUAAGCACCUAACCUAAUCCGAAGGGACCGGGUAACCUUAGCAAAGCGCAUCGUGAUGGGGAUAGAUUAUUGCAAUUAUUAGUCUUGAACGAGGAAUUCCUAGUAAACGUGAGUCAUCAGCUCGCAUUGAUUACGUCCCUGCCCUUUGUACACACCGCCCGUCGCACCUACCGAUUGAAUGGUUCGGUGAAGAUCUCGGACUUCGAUAUUUAUUCUUUAUUGAGUUUAUAUUGUGGGAAGUUAUCUAAACCUCAUCAUUUAGAGGAAGGUGAAGUCGUAACA
Molecule: ribosomal RNA, 327 nt
Filed under: uncultured eukaryote
Lineage: Eukaryota
Description: partial 18S ribosomal RNA
Rfam family: Eukaryotic small subunit ribosomal RNA
Source: RNAcentral